AAGGCAAACAAAGAAAAAAAACAAGGAGGGGACAGACUAGGUCAAAAACAGGGGAUAGACGAACAAACAAAUCAGGAGGGUCCGCAGACAUCUCAGGGCAGUCCAGUAAAGACACGCAGCAGCAGAAGGGACAAAUAAUAUUCAACCUUUCUUCUACACCUCUUACAGACACCCAGGUCCAGGUGCUAGGUGAUCCGGCAGCGUCUGGGGCUGAGCAAUUGAAUCCAGAUAUGACUAAUCAACUACGUCCUAAAUCUACAUUUAUGCCGCCGACAUUAAAUAGGGUGAUGAAUCAGCUUUAACUUCAUUUGUGAAUUACCUGAAUUCCAUUGAAUCCACGAUACGUUUUACGGUUUCCUGGAGUUCGUCCACGAUAUCCUUUUUGGAUAUCCUUAUCAAUUUUGAUGCAGGUAAAUUCUCCACGAGUAUAUACCGUAAACCUACGGACCGUAAUACACAGGCAUAGAAUUACAUGUCAAUCCAUGUUUGUAGUCUAUAUUAUUAUUUGCCCGUGCGUCUUAUAUUACACUGGAAAGACUAUACAAAAACUGAAAGAUAGAUUCAUUAAGCAUAAAAGUGUCAUUAAGCUGGGAAAGGAAUCUACCCCUUUAGUGCAACACUGUAGGGAAUACAAUCAUAAUUUAUCGGCGUUACGUCUAAUGGGGAUUGACCAGAUAACUUCUUCUAUGGGGGGUGUUGAUAAGAACACUCUAUUAUUGCGACGUGAGGCGGAAUGGAUAUUUCGUCUCAAUACAGUAACUCCGUCUGGGCUUAAUGAUAUAUUAAAUUUAUCUUGCUUUCUGCAGACUAGAUGAGAGGUCUCUUAUGGAUUCUCUUGCUCAGCCUCUACAUAUGCCUUGAUCUUCUGUUCUCGAAUAACCCUUCCUGAAUGUGUGAAGCUUUGGUGCUAUGGGGGAACGCAUGUGCGUUACAACUGGAUCUUUAGGAGACGCUGGGUUAUUUCUGGAAGUUGAGUUAACCGGAAGUGAUGUCAGGGGAGUGAUCCGCAUCUCUAAAUGUUUGAUGUAGGAUGCACGCUAUAUUGGAACGUAUUUGCUUUCCACCAGGAUACUAGGUGACGCUGCUUCACCCCCCACGAGUAGAGAGGCGGAAGUGACGUCAGACGCCGGAUCCCUAUCGAAUGGACUCAGCAUGGACUAUAAAAUGAUACAGACAGUAAGGCUCGUUCUGCCUUUUUGAUUUUUGUUAAUUUUUUGUGCCCCUGAUGAAGACCCUUAUGGUCGA
Molecule: long non-coding RNA, 1245 nt
Organism: Xenopus laevis (African clawed frog)
Lineage: Eukaryota; Metazoa; Chordata; Amphibia; Anura; Pipidae
Exons: 4
Source: RefSeq, a predicted model, not a curated record